This 200-nucleotide ribosomal RNA is filed under the name uncultured eukaryote. RNAcentral describes it as "partial 18S ribosomal RNA". It matches the Rfam family "Eukaryotic small subunit ribosomal RNA", at positions 587 to 814 of the family's 1831-position model. The record is from RNAcentral.
AGCUCCAAUAGCGUACACUAAAGUUGUUGCAGUUAAAAAGCUCGUAGUCAAAUGUGAUGUUGUGGUGUUGGGUGUUUCAUCUAUGAUGAGGGACUUUAUAUCGGACAUCAACUUUCUCUUAAUUAAGUUAAGAGAAUCGUUCACUGUAAGUAAAACAGAUCGCUCAAGCGGUUUUUAGAAAGAUAUGAAUUAGUAUGGGA